Long non-coding RNA from Triticum dicoccoides, 2360 nucleotides. RefSeq lists it as uncharacterized. The transcript is spliced from 2 exons. NCBI's taxonomy places the organism in Eukaryota, Viridiplantae, Streptophyta, Magnoliopsida, Poales, Poaceae. The record is from RefSeq and is a predicted model, not a curated record.
CCGCCGCAGCUCAAAAAUUCCCCACCAGAAACCCUCGCCGCCUCGACCCUCCAUGCCGCCACCCGCAUCGGCGCUGCCGGCCGAGCUUCUGGAGGAGAUCUUCCUCCGCCUGCCGCCGGACGAGGCUGAGCACCUUGUGCGCGCCUCCCUUGCCAGCAAGUUCUGGCUUGGCCUCCUCUCCGGCGCUCGCUUUCGCGGCCGCUACCGAAAUUUCGUCCGUGCAUUCCCGACGAUGACUGGGGGACUGGGAAUAUGAUGCGUGGGACUGCCGCCCUGGUCGUGUUCUCCUUGGCGAUGCAGGCUAUAAACAUGAUGGGCUGCCAGAGGGAGCUGGAUGCGCCCGUCCUGGUGGACAACAGCUAUGGGGCAGCAGUGCUCUGCGCUGCGAGCGGCUGUGACCACAGUACGUGCCACGCAGGGCCCUUCCAGGUCGUCUUCAUCGCUCUGAACAAGACUGAUGCUCAUGAUUGUGUUGCACAGGCGUGGGUGACCUUGCCGGUGACAGGUGACCACAGCAACCCCAUUUUGUUGAGCAUAUACCGUUCUCAUUUUGAUAACUGGAGCAAUCCAUGCUCCGGCCUUCAACUUGACUCCGAUGUGUACAUCCACGAAGCGCCUCCUGUCUUCGUCCAAAGGCACACUUCACUUCAAGCUUUGUGACUGCGUCGAUGAUCGCCUAGUAGGAAUUCUCAAGUACGACCUGAGCACUAAUUGCUUAUCAUUGAUUCAUAUGCCGCUUGCUGAUGAUGUUAUCCUCAUGGCGAUGGAGGAUGACAGUUUGGGGUUUGCACAUGUGGUUGGGUUAAUCCUCAAUCUGUGGUCAAGGCACAUGGGUUCUGACGGAGUUGCAUCAUGGACUCAGCGUACAGUCAUCAAUAUCAACAACAUCCUUCACAUUCGAAAUCCAAAGAAAAGACUUAGGCUGAUUGGAUCUGUGGAAGGCACCGAUAUCAUUUUCGUGACCACGGAUCUUGGAAUCUACAAGAUUAAUCUGAAGUCACUACAGUGGGAGAGAGAAAAGUUUCAAGUUUUCAUCCCAUACACGAGUUUCUACAAUUCACAAGGGUGACCCCCGGUGACGCGGCGCAUUAAGAAUGUGUGGUUGAAUAUGUACGAGGCUACACUCAUCAACAAGAUAGGUGACAAACUUGGAGGCAACAGGGGUCUCGCGAAGUCCUGAUGAAUUAUGUCAUCAUUCAGUAGCCCUUUUGGUGCAACGGUGCUUGCUUGUUUUCCCAUGUUGUUGGUAGCUUUUGUCAGUUAGCUUGAUAAUCUCCCGUGUUAGUGGCCGAGUGAAUUGAUUAUCUUUGUAAUGAACCUCUAAUUUGAUGUACCCUGUUGUAGAAUUUACUUGAAAAAGCAUUUGCAGACAGUAACCCGGUAUUACCAUUUUAAAAACUCUACAGUUUGCCCUGUCCCAGCUUUGAUCCAAUCUUUAAAUUCAUCUCUCAAAAGAUGCACAGUUAGGGAGUGGUUUCUGUUUCCCGAGAGAUGGUAUGAUAAACCUUUUUGCACCUUGGCUUGCUGGUUUUUUCUUAAUGAAUAAUCUGAUGGAUUUAAGUUCUGUUUUUUAGCAAGCAAUGUUGCUGAAGAGUAUAGCACGUGAACUGGAUCUCGAGCUAUAAGUUCAGUGAACUAUAGGAUAUGGGGCUGCAUGGCUAUGAAGAUCUCAAACAGAUUUUAAUUGCUUCAGUAGCUCCAGAAACCUGUUAGGUGUGUGUUCGUUAUUGGUUGUGCAUCUUUAGCCAUGUAAAGAGAUGAAAUAUGUUGUUACAUUUGGGGGGAUAAUGUGACAACCAACCUCUGUUUCCCUGAUGCUUCCUGAAGAAAGUAGUAGUGUACAUUGGUUAGAACAGAGUUUCACCUGUAACCUGCUCAACCUCUUCUCAGACCCACAAUUGCAGUAUUCAGAUGUGCCUCCCUCUACCUGCAUGUAACCAUCUCUCAAGCCUGAAGAUCUGUAAACGGCAAAUGAUCGUUGUUGUCGCUGGUUAUAUUUUAUCGAUUCAACAUAGCUGUUCUCUCAACUCAGAAGUUCCUGAACUGAACCUCCACUAGGGCCAGUACUGUUCUAUCUUUCACAGCACCCUUGUAGAUCGUAGCGCAUUUCAGUCUUCUAUUUUUCGCCACGGUAUUGUUCUGUGAAAGUUCCUUCCAACCACAUCAUGCGUAUCAGGUAUGUUUGAAUAUACCAUCCCUUGUUAUUUCUUUCUAUCUGUUUUCGUAUUCAUGCGUUCCAAAAGGCGUCAGGAAAUAAUACAGGAUGGAUAAUCUUUCUAGAAGCGUUCAUCAUACAUUCUUGUGUACUGGUUAUACAUGUCUAGGAACUUGAAUCCAUUGAAACACAGCAGAUCCACAAA